Long non-coding RNA from Grus americana (Whooping crane), 362 nucleotides. RefSeq lists it as uncharacterized. The record is from RefSeq and is a predicted model, not a curated record. NCBI's taxonomy places the organism in Eukaryota, Metazoa, Chordata, Aves, Gruiformes, Gruidae. The transcript is spliced from 4 exons.
UGCCGAUAAAGCCAAGGAAAUUCUCACACAGCCAGUGAUUGUGGAUUACUAUGAGCUCAAAGAUUUUUCCUCUGGCAAAAUGGGAUGUUUCAAUGGACACUCUUUAAGAUCAAUGAGAAAAAACAUGCCGCCCUGUUCAGACUCUAGCUUUGACAAAAGCAUGGAAAUAUUAAGUGAAACCGUCAAUCGAAGACACUUUACAAGGCAGUUGGCAAAGCCGAAAUCAGACCCAAAAAAAGAAGAAUAGAAAGAAGUCAACAGGACACUGAAGACUAGAGCUGAUGCAAAAGCUGCAGAACAAGUCCAUGAAGAAAAUGGGGAUUUGGAGGUCCGCCGAAGCUGCAGGCUUUGACAAAGCCAUU